CUUUUGUCAGGGAAGANACNGUCUGAUCUAAUACAUUGGGCUAAUGACGGUNCCUGAANAAUAANCACCGGCUAACUACGUGCCAUCANCCGCGGUAAUACUUAUGGUGCAAGCGUUAAUCUGAAUUACUGGGCGUAAAGCGUGCGCANGCGGCUUUGCAAGACANAUGUGAAAUCCCCGGGCUCAACCUGGGAACUGCAUUUGUGACUGCNUGGCUNNAGUACGGUANAGGGGGAUGGAAUUCCGCGUGUAGCAAUGAAAUGCGUAAAUGUGCNNAGGAACACCGAUGGCGAAGGCAAUCCCCUGGACCUGUACUGAC
Molecule: ribosomal RNA, 319 nt
Filed under: uncultured bacterium
Lineage: Bacteria
Description: partial 16S ribosomal RNA
Rfam family: Bacterial small subunit ribosomal RNA
Source: RNAcentral